This is a non-coding RNA of Xylaria acuta, 81 nucleotides long. The record is from the annotation of a GenBank genome assembly. Lineage: Eukaryota; Fungi; Ascomycota; Sordariomycetes; Xylariales; Xylariaceae.
GGAAGGAUGGCUGAGUGGUUAAAGCGCCCGAUUGGGGUCCAGGUCCUUUACGGGGCAAGGGUUCGAGUCCCUCUUCUGUCG